CGCUCCCUUUAUGGCCGCCCCUCACCCGCCCCCCUCACGCCCUUUUCCCUCCCGGCCUCGGCCAUGGCCGGGCCCUCCCGGAGACCGGCAGCGGCGCCGGGAAGAGGAGGAGGAAGAGGAGGAGGAGGAGGAGUCACACAGAUUGAAGAGCUCGAGCUCCAAGAGACGCAAUAAGCGGUUGUGUUAUGAGUCUUGGCAGCGCCAAAUCUGGGGGCAGAGGCUGGUGCAAAGAGGAGAGUACAGGGCUACACCUCUUUAACUCAUCUCAGUGUUACUUUAGGAGGGCGUCUGGGAACAACAGAGAGAAAGAACCAUUCAUGCAUUCAGCAUUCCUGUUGCCACUGCAAAAAAAUCGUAAAAAAUUCACUUGAGUUUGGUUUUUGGCUCUACCAAAGUAAGCAAUUUUGUGUCUGCAUAGAAUUGGAUUUGGUGGGUAAAAAAGCAAUGGAAUAUUUCCCCAGAUUAUGUUAAUUGUGGAUCGCACCAUCUCACGAAGAAAGAGGGCAUGAGUUCAGGACCUGCGUUUUCCUGGGCUGCUGUGUGACCUUGGGUAAAGCAGUUCACUUUGCACAGCUGUAUUUUGACUGUCGUUAAAAUGGAAAUAAAGAUACUUUUA
Hirundo rustica (Barn swallow) is the source of this 616-nucleotide long non-coding RNA. RefSeq lists it as uncharacterized. The transcript has 3 exons. Lineage: Eukaryota; Metazoa; Chordata; Aves; Passeriformes; Hirundinidae. The record is from RefSeq and is a predicted model, not a curated record.